RNAcentral lists this ribosomal RNA (253 nucleotides) under uncultured bacterium. RNAcentral describes it as "partial 16S ribosomal RNA". It matches the Rfam family "Bacterial small subunit ribosomal RNA", at positions 524 to 776 of the family's 1533-position model. The record is from RNAcentral.
GACGUAGGAGGCGAGCGUUGUCCGGAUUCAUUGGGCGUAAAGAGCGCGCAGGCGGCUUGGUAAGUCGGAUGUGAAAACCCGAGGCUCAACCUCGGGCGUGCAUCCGAAACUGCUCGGCUAGAGGUAGGUAGGGGAGAUCGGAAUUCCUGGUGUAGCGGUGAAAUGCGCAGAUAUCAGGAGGAACACCGGUGGCGAAGGCGGAUCUCUGGGCCUUACCUGACACUCAGGCGCGAAAGCUAGGGGAGCGAACUGG